AGCGGCAAGGGCCUUCGGGCCCCUAGAGCGGCGGACGGGUGAGUAACACGUGGACAAUCUGCCCCCCGGUCCGGGAUAGCCCAGGGAAACCUGGAUUAAUACCGGAUGAGACGGGACCCGCGGAGGCGGGAUCCGGGAAAGGCGCUGCGGCGCCGCCGGGGGAUGAGUCUGCGUCCCAUUAGCUAGACGGCGGGGUAACGGCCCACCGUGGCGACGAUGGGUAGCCGGCCUGAGAGGGUGGACGGCCACAUUGGAACUGAGACACGGUCCAGACUCCUACGGGAGGCAGCAGCUAAGAAUCUUCCGCAAUGGGCGAAAGCCUGACGGAGCGACGCCGCGUGAACGAAGAAGGCCGUGAGGUUGUAAAGUUCUUUUCGGGAGGGGGAACAACCGUGGCAGGGAAUGGCCGCGGGAUGACGUGAAUCCCGGAAUAAGCCCCGGCUAACUACGUGCCAGCAGCCGCGGUAACACGUAGGGGGCGAGCGUUGUUCGGAAUCAUUGGGCGUAAAGGGCGUGCAGGCGGUCCUGCAAGUCCGGCGUGAAAGACCCCGGCCCAACCGGGGGGACGCGCUGGAAACUGCAGGGCUUGAGUACAGGAGGGGAUGCCGGAAUUCCAGGUGUAGGGGUGAAAUCU
This 634-nucleotide ribosomal RNA is filed under the name uncultured Sphaerochaeta sp. Its description in RNAcentral is "bacterial SSU rRNA". It matches the Rfam family "Bacterial small subunit ribosomal RNA", at positions 65 to 689 of the family's 1533-position model. The record is from RNAcentral. Lineage: Bacteria; Pseudomonadati; Spirochaetota; Spirochaetia; Spirochaetales; Sphaerochaetaceae.